Balaenoptera ricei (Rice's whale) is the source of this 385-nucleotide long non-coding RNA. RefSeq lists it as uncharacterized. The record is from RefSeq and is a predicted model, not a curated record. The transcript is spliced from 5 exons. Lineage: Eukaryota; Metazoa; Chordata; Mammalia; Artiodactyla; Balaenopteridae.
GCCUGAGGCCGGACCUGGCCGCCUGGAUGUGGCAAGCUGCAGCUGCAAGCGCUUGGACCCCGGGGGAGCCUUUUGGAGGGAUGGUAUUUCCAGUAUGAAUUCCCACCAGCAGUGCAUGAGAGUUCUGAAAUACCUACAUUCUUUCUACACUUACGGUCCACUCUAACAACACUGUGCCCACCCCUCUGAAGCAGGUGAAGCAACCAAGGAAGAAAAGAACCAUAAAAACAAGAAAAUAACAGGCCCCAUCACCUCCAAGGUCCACAAGCGGAGAUGUCCAUCCUCAUGUGCAGUGACAAGGAUAGGUGAUUACUCUUGCCAUCAUCUGUGGAUUCUGGUGUGGAUACUGUGGAUACUGCCUGGGUGUGGGAAAUAAAAAUCUGCU